Molecule: long non-coding RNA, 234 nt
Filed under: Ananas comosus (pineapple)
Lineage: Eukaryota; Viridiplantae; Streptophyta; Magnoliopsida; Poales; Bromeliaceae
Description: long non-coding RNA (ACOM_LNC042777)
Source: RNAcentral
CCCCACAAGUCGGCACUCCGGAGAUAGCCAUCGCGACACAAGCUCGCUCGUGCAGGAUUGGGCGCCAAAAUGAGUUGCCGUGGGGGAGGCUCAUUCCUAGGGUGGGGAUGUUGACUACCACGGGGCCAUUGUUGGCGCGGCGCAGGCCGGACUACCUACGGGUAGCUUCCACAGGAUUGGGUUACUAGUGACAAAUUAUACCUUUGGACAUUGACUAGAAUAGUAAACGUUGAC